UCUAAGGAGAGUGGCUGUUGAUAUGCUUUGUGGUUUUGUUUCUGUGAUUUGGGUGCUAGGGAUCCUGGUUUCACCCAUGUUCUACCACUGGGGUAUGCCUCAGGCCUUGCACUUGGAACUUUGAGUUAUCUCUACAAUGCAAAACUUAUCAGAAGCAUAUUAUUCCCUACUCUGUAAGAUAAAAACUCUGAUCAGAGUAUAAGAUGAGCAAAAAAAAAAAAAGAAGCCAGGGACAGUGCUUAGG
Long non-coding RNA from Perognathus longimembris pacificus (Pacific pocket mouse), 244 nucleotides. RefSeq lists it as uncharacterized. The transcript has 3 exons. NCBI's taxonomy places the organism in Eukaryota, Metazoa, Chordata, Mammalia, Rodentia, Heteromyidae. The record is from RefSeq and is a predicted model, not a curated record.